UGUUCAUAGAACAAAAGAGAGCUAGUAGACGCAAAAUCAUGCAAAUGAACUUGAAAUGAAAACAGAUUUUAACCAAAUGCAUAAGCCAUAGGGAUCCUGAACAAACACCAACUCUUCAGUUUUAUUUGAAUAACUUGGAUUGAUGUGUAGCAAUUACCUAUUUCAGCAAAGUUACACAGUUUCUCCAGUUUAGUUCCGAAGAUAUGCCAAAGCUGAUUCGAAGUACUGACUAUACUAUCUAUAAACACAAUAGCACUUGAAAGUAAUGUACUUGUUGGGAGACAAGCUUUUGAAAUGCGAAGUAAAUGAGCAGAGGUUACCAAAUAGCACAUCGCAAAUCUUAAACCUUUCACAAGGUCAAAAGCUACAAGAUAAUGAGAACGGGACUGAGUUCAGGAUUCACAGGGGCUUACAAGUAUAGUGACACAAAAAGCUUGAGGCAAUUUUGAGGCUUCCGGAACAAAAUUUCACAAGAAUAUCGAUGAUUACAUAAAACUGAAUUAUACAGCAGCUAGAGCCAUCACUCAAGCAACAUUGCUCACUAAAACGACAAAAAAGUGACUAGUCAUUUUCCUCAAACAGGUGUGAUGUGUAGGAGUUUCUAUGAUUCUUGAAACAAUAUAUUGAUUCUUGUUUUAAAAAAAA
This is a long non-coding RNA of Populus euphratica (Euphrates poplar), 645 nucleotides long. RefSeq lists it as uncharacterized. Lineage: Eukaryota; Viridiplantae; Streptophyta; Magnoliopsida; Malpighiales; Salicaceae. The transcript is spliced from 2 exons. The record is from RefSeq and is a predicted model, not a curated record.